RNAcentral lists this ribosomal RNA (837 nucleotides) under uncultured bacterium. RNAcentral describes it as "bacterial SSU rRNA". It matches the Rfam family "Bacterial small subunit ribosomal RNA", at positions 105 to 935 of the family's 1533-position model. The record is from RNAcentral.
GGUGAGUAAUACUUANGAAUCUGCCUAUUAAUGGGGGACAACAUCUCGAAGGGGAUGCUGAUACCGCAUACGCCCUACGGGGGAAAGCAGGGGAUNACUUGUGACCUUGCGUUAAUAGAUGAGCCUAAGUCGGAUUAGCUAGUUGGUGGGGUAAAGGCCUACCAAGGCGACGAUCUGUAGCGGGUCUGAGAGGAUGAUCCGCCACACUGGGACUGAGACACGGCCCAGACUCCUACGGGAGGCAGCAGUGGGGAAUAUUGGACAAUGGGGGGAACCCUGAUCCAGCCAUGCCGCGUGUGUGAAGAAGGCCUUAUGGUUGUAAAGCACUUUAAGCGAGGAGGAGGCUCUCUUGGUUAAUACCCAAGAUGAGUGGACGUUACUCGCAGAAUAAGCACCGGCUAACUCUGUGCCAGCAGCCGCGGUAAUACAGAGGGUGCGAGCGUUAAUCGGAUUUACUGGGCGUAAAGCGUGCGUAGGCGGCUUUUUAAGUCGGAUGUGAAAUCCCCGAGCUUAACUUGGGAAUUGCAUUCGAUACUGGGAAGCUAGAGUAUGGGAGAGGAUGGUAGAAUUCCAGGUGUAGCGGUGAAAUGCGUAGAGAUCUGGAGGAAUACCGAUGGCGAAGGCAGCCAUCUGGCCUAAUACUGACGCUGAGGUACGAAAGCAUGGGGAGCAAACAGGAUUAGAUACCCUGGUAGUCCAUGCCGUAAACGAUGUCUACUAGCCGUUGGGGCCUUUGANGCUUUAGUGGCGCAGCUNACGCGAUAAGUAGACCGCCUGGGGAGUACGGUCGCAAGACUAAAACUCAAAUGANUUGACGGGGGCCCGCACAAGCGGUGG